Molecule: long non-coding RNA, 779 nt
Organism: Mus musculus (house mouse)
Lineage: Eukaryota; Metazoa; Chordata; Mammalia; Rodentia; Muridae
Product: predicted gene, 30220
Exons: 2
Source: RefSeq, a predicted model, not a curated record
GAUGGCAACCACACAUCGCUCGAUAUUAACUACUAUUUCUGUUCUUACAGAGACACUCAUUUUUAGGUAAGUGUUAUUCAAGUCUUCAUGAUAAAGGUAGGCUGGAGAAAACUGUAAUGACUGAAGCUUUCUGCCCCUUGCACAUCUUCUGGAAGAUACCUGUAAUGUUGAAGAUCAACGACAUUCUUCUCUGAGUAACCAACCUGUCACAACAGGAACUGAGACUGUAAAGACAAAUCCUAGACCAGGCUUGUCUAGGAAGACUUCAUAGCCCAGAGGAUAAUGCAAGGAUAAUGCGAAUGGAGUGAGUCUGGAGUUGUAAGCAGGCACCCAGGAAGUGCAGUGGAAACACAAAGGACUGGCUGAGCUAAAGCUCCUACAACCAGAUGCAGGUGCUAUGGAGGCUGGAGGUGAUCCAGGUGCCCUGGAGCUGGAGCAGCUAUGAGCCACCUGAUAUGGAUGGCAGUCCUCUUAAAGAGUACUGCGUUCAGAUCUGCUGAGCUACCUCGACAACCCUUUGACUGGACUUGUGCCCUUCUCAGCUGGCCUUUUCCUCCUCUUCCUCCUCUUCCUCUUCUCUUUCUUCCUUCUCCUCCUUUUUUAUUUUUGCCACAUUUGAUUCACCUACUAAGCCACUAACCAAUCAGGUGCAGUGCAUGUCUCCUCAAACACACUCCAGCACUUAGUUCUCAAACCUAGGACAAAGCUCGUGAGGCAACAGUGACUUAAAGUGAAUUGAAAAUUAUAAAUAAAUAUUUAUUUCGUAUAGUUCCAAGCUA